CUCAAAGAUUCGAAUCAGCCUUUGGAUAAAGCCGUUUCAAGUACAACCAUGCAACUGAAGAUUGUUUGUCUACUUCUGGUCGCCACAGUGGCCAUGACAGCCGCCUACAGGGGUCAGUACAACUCUUUGAGGAACCACGGGCGUUACGGUCGCUACGACUACGACAUUGAGGUUCCCGACUUCCCCGACUUUGACAGCUACAUGUACAGAUAUCUAAUGACGAGAGGUCGUCGACAAGGCAGACAGAGCAAACAGAACACGAACCGCUACAACAGUUUGAGGAAUCUUGCCAGACUUGAGGCUUAUGACCUUUUUUGAGUUAGAAUACACCGGUGUCAUAUGACAGGGACAUGACAUUAAUAUCGGCAUUGGAAGGGGUUUUAUACUAAACCACACAUCUACGAAGAAAAUA
Molecule: long non-coding RNA, 412 nt
Filed under: Haliotis rufescens (red abalone)
Lineage: Eukaryota; Metazoa; Mollusca; Gastropoda; Lepetellida; Haliotidae
Description: uncharacterized LOC124119561
Source: RNAcentral